Non-coding RNA from Cicer arietinum (chickpea), 480 nucleotides. NCBI's taxonomy places the organism in Eukaryota, Viridiplantae, Streptophyta, Magnoliopsida, Fabales, Fabaceae. The record is from RefSeq and is a predicted model, not a curated record.
AAGAUUCAUUUCUCACAGAAAUAACAAUGUCUCAAAUUUACAAAUUAGUUUAUGCUUUAGUUAAUAUUUUUUUUCUCUUCCGUAUUGGAACGAACGGCAUAGGUCAACAACUUAAUUAUCAAGGGAGAUCAUAUUCUUAAAAUGGAGAUGAAGCUAUUAUUCAAGCUACCAAAGUGGACACAACCCGUUGAAUGUUGUAGCAUCAAUCAUGGAAGUGAGGUUUUUUUUCUUUCUAAAUUCUACAUUUUUAAUUUCCCGUGUUAUAACUAGUAAUUUAUGUUUGUAGUUGUGUACCAAACAAUUUUUUCAAACUUGUAGUAUGAGUAGUUAUACAACUAUUCAUAUUAUAGUUUGGGAGAGGGGAUAGUUUUUUAAUUUUUGUUGAAUAAUGCAUGAAAGAAUAGUUAACUUAUUGAUACUAGUUUGCUCAUGUAUUGAUUACAUUGGUUGAUUGAACUUGAAUGGUUAAAAUCUAAGGUA